AAAGUCUGACCUGCCCAAUGAUAUUAUUAAAUGGCUGCGGUAUCCUGACCGUGCAAAGGUAGCAUAAUAAUUAGUUUUUUAAUUGAGAACUGGUAUGAACGGUCGAACGAGAAAAAAGCUGUCUCGGUUUAAUUUUUAUUAGAAUUUUAUUUUUAAGUAAAAAAGCUUAAAUAAUCUUAAAAGACGAGAAGACCCUAUAGAGUUUUAUAUUUUAUUUUAUACUUGAGCGUUAAAGUAUCUUAGUUUGGGUAUAUUAUAAAGUAUUUGAUUGGGGCGAUUAAAAAAUUGAAAGAACUUUUUUUAUAUGUUUACAUUGAUAUAUGAAUAAGUGAUCCA
This 336-nucleotide ribosomal RNA is filed under the name Tanzanolus sp. SM-2013. Its description in RNAcentral is "partial 16S ribosomal RNA". The stretch from base 1 to 170 matches the Rfam family "Archaeal large subunit ribosomal RNA", at positions 1941 to 2143 of the family's 2987-position model. Lineage: Eukaryota; Metazoa; Arthropoda; Insecta; Coleoptera; Scarabaeidae. The record is from RNAcentral.